ACUUGAAUUGAAGAGUUUGAUCAUGGCUCAGAUUGAACGCUGGCGGCAGGCUUAACACAUGCAAGUCGAACGGUAGCAGGAGAAAGCUUGCUUUCUUGCUGACGAGUGGCGGACGGGUGAGUAAUGCUUGGGAAUCUGGCUUAUGGAGGGGGAUAACGACGGGAAACUGUCGCUAAUACCGCGUAUUAUCGGAAGAUGAAAGUGCGGGACUGAGAGGCCGCAUGCCAUAGGAUGAGCCCAAGUGGGAUUAGGUAGUUGGUGGGGUAAAUGCCUACCAAGCCUGCGAUCUCUAGCUGGUCUGAGAGGAUGACCAGCCACACUGGAACUGAGACACGGUCCAGACUCCUACGGGAGGCAGCAGUGGGGAAUAUUGCGCAAUGGGGGGAACCCUGACGCAGCCAUGCCGCGUGAAUGAAGAAGGCCUUCGGGUUGUAAAGUCUUUCGGU
This 446-nucleotide ribosomal RNA is filed under the name Haemophilus influenzae PittII. Its description in RNAcentral is "bacterial SSU rRNA". It matches the Rfam family "Bacterial small subunit ribosomal RNA", at positions 1 to 440 of the family's 1533-position model. The record is from RNAcentral. Lineage: Bacteria; Pseudomonadati; Pseudomonadota; Gammaproteobacteria; Pasteurellales; Pasteurellaceae.